This 683-nucleotide long non-coding RNA is filed under the name Lathyrus oleraceus (garden pea). RNAcentral describes it as "Pisum sativum (pea) long non-coding RNA (PSAT_LNC004125)". Lineage: Eukaryota; Viridiplantae; Streptophyta; Magnoliopsida; Fabales; Fabaceae. The record is from RNAcentral.
AGAUUGUUCCUCCACCAUUUGUACUUGCCAUCUUCUUCCAAGUUGUUCAGAUAAUGAACUUGAGUAGAACGAAAAUCAACACGAAACAUAUCCGACUCUGGUGGAGGUAAAGUUGACAGCAGUUUUUGCACAGUGCUACGAGGAAUCUGUAAUUACUGGGUACAUCAAUAUUACAAAUAAUGAACUUGAGUAGAACGAAAAUCAACACGAAACAUAUCCGACUCUGGUGGAGGUAAAGUUGACAGCAGUUUUUGCACAGUGCUACGAGGAAUCUGUAAUUACUGGGUACAUCAAUAUUACAGUCUAUAAAUAUAGGUACCAAAGAAACAAUCCAGUGCAAAAUAUCCAUCUUUCUGACAGAAAAUAUGGAAAAACACAUUUCAUAGAAAACAUGGGAAGAAAUCAAUGUGACACUAAUGAAGUUUAACAGUCCAUAGCUAUACCAAAGCAAUGCUACUUAUCUGCCAUUUUAAAUUUUGUUCCCAACUUUUCUUAGGCAACUAUCAAUGAUUGAUACAUGACAUCAUAUACUUCCAGUUUGUGUAUAAUAAAUAUAUCCCAACUCAUUUGAGUGCACCGGAUGAUGAUUUUCAUUUGUCCACUAAUAGUUGCAAACAUGAACACGUUAACAGGAAAUUAGUCAGUAGUAAAAAUAUGCCAAAUGAAGAUUAGAUGACAGGCAC